Molecule: long non-coding RNA, 201 nt
Filed under: Lathyrus oleraceus (garden pea)
Lineage: Eukaryota; Viridiplantae; Streptophyta; Magnoliopsida; Fabales; Fabaceae
Description: Pisum sativum (pea) long non-coding RNA (PSAT_LNC021040)
Source: RNAcentral
UACAACUUGUCACUUAAUCCCUACCCAAUGCAAUUUCAAUCUUACACUAAGAUCAGAGUUCCUACUCACUCCCCCUCAAUCACCUCAGUGAUUACUACCUUUAAUCAAUAUUAAAGACAACUUUGAAGUCACACUUCAAACAACUCUUGAUUGUGCUUUACAGCUUUAAUCAAGAUACACAGCACUCACGCUUAAAAGCUU